This 66-nucleotide transfer RNA is filed under the name Graptopsaltria bimaculata. RNAcentral's name for it is "tRNA-Leu". Lineage: Eukaryota; Metazoa; Arthropoda; Insecta; Hemiptera; Cicadidae. The record is from RNAcentral.
UCCAUUAUGGCAGAAUUUAGUGCAUUGAAUUUAAGAUUCAUAUAUAAAUAUUUUAUUUUUUUGGAA